GUGAGGAAUAUUGGUCAAUGGUCGGGAGACUGAACCAGCCAAGCCGCGUGAGGGAGGAAGGUACAGAGUAUCGUAAACCUCUUUUGUCAGGGAACAAAGGCGGGGACGUGUCCCCGGAUGAGUGUACCUGAAGAAAAAGCAUCGGCUAACUCCGUGCCAGCAGCCGCGGUAAUACGGAGGAUGCGAGCGUUAUCCGGAUUUAUUGGGUUUAAAGGGUGCGCAGGCGGUCUGUUAAGUCAGCGGUCAAAGCCCGGGGCUCAACCCCGGCCCGCCGUUGAAACUGGCAGUCUCGAGUUGGAGAGAAGUAUGCGGAAUGCGCGGUGUAGCGGUGAAAUGCAUAGAUAUCGCGCAGAACUCCGAUUGCGAAGGCAGCAUGCCGGCUCCACACUGACGCUGAGGCACGAAAGCGUGGGUAUCGAACAGGAUUAGAUACCCUGGUAGUCC
This 444-nucleotide ribosomal RNA is filed under the name uncultured bacterium. Its description in RNAcentral is "bacterial SSU rRNA". It matches the Rfam family "Bacterial small subunit ribosomal RNA", at positions 354 to 796 of the family's 1533-position model. The record is from RNAcentral.